Apodemus sylvaticus (European woodmouse) is the source of this 610-nucleotide long non-coding RNA. RefSeq lists it as uncharacterized. The transcript has 2 exons. The record is from RefSeq and is a predicted model, not a curated record. Lineage: Eukaryota; Metazoa; Chordata; Mammalia; Rodentia; Muridae.
CUUUGCAGCACAUUGUUGGUCACUGGUCUUGGCUGAUCUUAGCUUUGUUGAGUGUGGCAUGGCAAAGAACUUUUUCCUGAAGUCCCUGGGUAAUCCUGGUCACUCCUGCCGAUUUGGCAGAGGUCUGGCUGUUUCUGCUGGAUCGUGCCACUGCUGCUGAUUCUCGUUUGCUAUCCUGGCCUUACUAAACUGGACUGCUGGUAUCCUGAGAAAUGGAGAUUGGAAUCACCUCAAAGAACUACUUCUAAACAGAGAUCUUCUAUUGUGGGAUGCCGUCCUGAGCUAUUCGGACUAAUGCUUACUCAUGGCCCUAAGGUGGUGGCUGCUAAAAUAUAAGAACAAUUAACUAGAGCCUUCUCCUUGAGUUAUCAGUGUGAGAAGAUUCCGAGAAUACCAUAAGAUGUUCCUGCCCUAACCACGGAAUGUACCUGCUGGCGUUAACUCCGGGUGUCCUCUCCAGAUGACCAGAUGACCACCUCGCUUGCUUCCUGCUUCAACCCCUAGGGGUGUCUCUGCCCUUCCCUCCUUUGUCUGGUGUGAAGGUUAUUUCCUUCUCUGUAAGCCUUAAAACCCACUUACCUCCCCGACAUUAAACGAAGCCUUGACAUAA